GUCAGUUCAUCUGAUCUCUAGAGGAAGGGAAGAACUGCUCCUUUUCAUUCAAUCUGUCCUGAAAACGUCACCAUGUUCUCUGCAGUUUUAGUUUUGCUUCUGGCAAGUGUAAACUGUAUAGAUUCAUAUGAACUCACUCAGCCUGAGUCUCUGACUGUCCGUCCUGAUGCCACUCUAACUAUCAGCUGUAAAGUCUCCUAUUCAGUUACUAGCGGACAUACAGCCUGGAUUCGUCAGCCUGCAGGAAAAGCUCUGGAAUGGAUUGGAUUUAUCGACUCUGGUGGAAGCUUAUACUACAAGGAUUCCCUGAAAAGCCAGUUCAGCAUCACCAGAGACACCUCCAGUAACACAAUAACACUGCAGGGAAAGAAUAUGAAAGCUCAAGACACAGCUGUGUAUUAUUGUGCCAAAUAUACACAGUGACAGACACCAACAGCCUCCCCGUACA
Molecule: non-coding RNA, 448 nt
Organism: Rhinichthys klamathensis goyatoka
Lineage: Eukaryota; Metazoa; Chordata; Actinopteri; Cypriniformes; Leuciscidae
Source: the annotation of a RefSeq genome assembly